UACGAGGGGGGCAAGCGUUGUUCGGAAUUAUUGGGCGUAAAGGGUGCGUAGGCGGUGCGGUAAGUCUGUUGUGAAAUCUCCGGGCUCAACUCGGAGUCUGCAUCAGAAACUGCCGUGCUGGAGUGUGGGAGAGGUGAGUGGAAUUCCCGGUGUAGCGGUGAAAUGCGUAGAGAUCGGGAGGAACACCUGCGGCGAAAGCGGCUCACUGGACCAUAACUGACGCUGAUGCACGAAAACUAGGGGAGCAAACAGG
RNAcentral lists this ribosomal RNA (253 nucleotides) under uncultured bacterium. RNAcentral's name for it is "partial 16S ribosomal RNA". It matches the Rfam family "Bacterial small subunit ribosomal RNA", at positions 524 to 776 of the family's 1533-position model. The record is from RNAcentral.